Molecule: ribosomal RNA, 1380 nt
Filed under: metagenome
Description: SSU rRNA
Rfam family: Eukaryotic small subunit ribosomal RNA
Source: RNAcentral
ACUGGUUGAUCCUGCCAGUGAUCAUAUUCUUCGAUCAAAGAUUAAGCCAUGCACGUGUAAGAGUAAAUAGUUACCUGUGAAUCUGCGUAUGGCUCAUUACAAGAAUUAUUACUUCCCCCAGCAAAAUUUACAAUUGGAUAACCGUUGUAAUUCAAGGGCUAAUCAUGCAUAAAGAUGGUUUCGUAAGAGAUCAUUGCAUUUGUUAGUCAAUAAACCAACAUCUUUAAGAUGAAUCAUGACAAAUUGCGGAUCCUCAUGUUGCAAAAGACGGAGGACGACUGGGUCAGGUCUUUCCCCUAUCAGUUUUCGUAGGAAAUGUAUUGAAUUUUCUAGACUUUGACGGGUAACGGAAAAUGAGGGUUUGAUUCCGGAGAAGGAGCCUGAGAGACGGCUACUACAUCUAAGGAAGGCAGCAGGCGCGCAAAUUGUCCAUUUAUCAUUUGAUAGAGACAGUGACGAUCAAUAACAAUGUGCGACUCUUUAUGGGUUGUGCAAUUGGAAUGACUACAAUUUAAAGAGUUUAAGGAGGAUCAAUUGGAGGGCAAGUCUGGUGCCAGCAGCCGCGGUAAUUCCAGCUCCAAUAGGAUAUAUCAAAGUUGUUGCAGUUAAAAAGCUCGUAGUUGAAUUUCUGGUGGGGUUUUCUUCGAGUGUGAUAAUUUUCAGGGCAACUUGAAUUUUAUUGCACCACCCGCCAUAUUGUGGAUCAAUACAAGUAUGAAUGGUUUACUCCAUUUAUAUUUGUACCACUCAGUCACUGAGAGCAAAUUGGAGUGCUCAAAGCAGGCUUGAUAGCUUUGAACAUUUUAGCUUGGAAUGACAAGAUAUGACUUUUGUUGUAUUUUGUUGGUUAUACAAUGAAAGUAAUGAUUAACAGGAACAGUUGCGGGGGUACUCGUAUUGAGAGGUCAGAGGUGAAAUUCUUGGAUUCUUUCAAGACGAACGACUGCGAAAGCAUUUACCAAUGAUGUUUUCAUUAAUCAAGAACGAAAGCUCGGGGAUCGAAGAUGAUUAGAUACCAUCGUAGUCCGACGCCAUAAACGAUGCCGACUCGGGAUUGUCUUGUUUAUUCUAAUUAAAAAACGAAUCAAGGCAGCACCGUAUGAGAAAUCAAAGUCUUUGGGUUCCGGGGGGAGUAUGGUCGCAAGGCUGAAACUUAAAGGAAUUGACGGAAGGGCACACCAGAGGUGGAGCCUGCGGUUUAAUUUGACCCAACACGGGGAAACUUACCAGGUCCAGACAUGAUGAGGAUUGACAGUUUGAAAGCACUUUCUUGAUUUCAUGGGUGGUGGUGCAUGGCCGUUCUUAGUUGGUGGAGUGAUUUGUCUGGUUGAUUCCGAUAACGAACGAGACGGGGAGAGUUAACUAGGUGAUUGGAUAACC